AGCCUGACGGAGCAAGACCGCGUGAGGGAGGAAGGCUCUUGGGUUGUAAACCUCUUUUCUCAGGGAAGAAGCUCUGACGGUACCUGAGGAAUCAGCCUCGGCUAACUCCGUGCCAGCAGCCGCGGUAAUACGGAGGAGGCAAGCGUUAUCCGGAAUGAUUGGGCGUAAAGCGUUCGUAGGUGGCAAUUCAAGUCUGCUGUCAAAGACAGUAGCUCAACUACUGCAAGGCAGUGGAAACUGAAUAGCUAGAGUGCGGUAGGGGCAGAGGGAAUUCCCGGUGUAGCGGUGAAAUGCGUAGAGAUCGGGAAGAACAUCGGUGGCGAAAGCGCUCUACUGGACGGCAACUGACACUCAGGGACGAAAGCUAGGGGAGCGAAUGGGAUUAGAUACCCCAGUAGUC
RNAcentral lists this ribosomal RNA (400 nucleotides) under uncultured cyanobacterium. RNAcentral's name for it is "bacterial SSU rRNA". It matches the Rfam family "Bacterial small subunit ribosomal RNA", at positions 380 to 795 of the family's 1533-position model. The record is from RNAcentral. Lineage: Bacteria; Bacillati; Cyanobacteriota.